Molecule: transfer RNA, 87 nt
Filed under: Podiceps cristatus (great crested grebe)
Lineage: Eukaryota; Metazoa; Chordata; Aves; Podicipediformes; Podicipedidae
Rfam family: tRNA
About the family: Transfer RNA (tRNA) molecules are approximately 80 nucleotides in length. Their secondary structure includes four short double-helical elements and three loops (D, anti-codon, and T loops).
Source: Rfam by way of RNAcentral
GCUCUUGUGGUGGAAUAGGAAGACACGAUAGCCUCAAAAGCUAUUGAUAUGUAAAGUAUCGUCUCAGUUCAAAUCUGAGUAAGAGCA